UACGGGGGGGGCAAGCGUUGUUCGGAAUUACUGGGCGUAAAGGGCUCGUAGGCGGCCAAUCAAGUCGGACGUGAAAUCCCUCAGCUUAACUGGGGAACUGCGUCUGAUACUGGAUGGCUUGAGUUUGGGAGAGGGAUGCGGAAUUCCAGGUGUAGCGGUGAAAUGCGUAGAUAUCUGGAGGAACACCGGUGGCGAAGGCGGCAUCCUGGACCAAUUCUGACGCUGAGGAGCGAAAGCAAGGGGAGCAAACGGG
This 253-nucleotide ribosomal RNA is filed under the name uncultured bacterium. RNAcentral's name for it is "partial 16S ribosomal RNA". It matches the Rfam family "Bacterial small subunit ribosomal RNA", at positions 524 to 776 of the family's 1533-position model. The record is from RNAcentral.